GGGGAAUAUUGGACAAUGGCGGGAACCCUGAUCCAGCCAUGCCGCGGGUGUGAAGAAGGUCUUAUGGUUGUAAAGCACUUUAAGCGCGGAGGAUGCGCUUUUGGUUAAUCCCCAAGAUGCGUGGACGUUACCAGCAGAAUCAGCACCGGCCAACUCUGUGCCAGCAGCCGCGGUAAUACAGAGGGUGCGAGCGUUAAUCGGAUUUACUGGGCGUAAAGCGUGCGUAGGCGGCUUUUUAAGUCGGAUGUGAAAUCCCCGAGCUUAACUUGGGAAUAGCAUUCGAUACUGGGAGGCUAGAGUAUGGGAGAGGAUGGUAGAAUUCCAGGUGUAGCGGUGAAAUGCGUAGAGAUCUGGAGGAAUACCGAUGGCGAAGGCAGCCAUCUGGCCUAAUACUGACGCUGAGGUACGAAAGCAUGGGGAGCAAACA
Molecule: ribosomal RNA, 427 nt
Filed under: uncultured Acinetobacter sp.
Lineage: Bacteria; Pseudomonadati; Pseudomonadota; Gammaproteobacteria; Moraxellales; Moraxellaceae
Description: bacterial SSU rRNA
Rfam family: Bacterial small subunit ribosomal RNA
Source: RNAcentral